This 72-nucleotide transfer RNA is filed under the name Myxococcus fulvus. RNAcentral describes it as "tRNA-His". It matches the Rfam family "tRNA". Rfam says of the family: Transfer RNA (tRNA) molecules are approximately 80 nucleotides in length. Their secondary structure includes four short double-helical elements and three loops (D, anti-codon, and T loops). Lineage: Bacteria; Pseudomonadati; Myxococcota; Myxococcia; Myxococcales; Myxococcaceae. The record is from RNAcentral.
UUGGCCGAAGGCGAAUGGUGAGCCACCGGGAUGUGACCCCGGCGAAGAGGGUUCGAUUCCCUCCGGUCAACC